AUUCCAGCUCCAAUAGCGUAUAUUAAAGUUGUUGCAGUUAAAAAGCUCGUAGUUGAACUUCAGACCUGGCCGGGCGGUCCGCCUAACGGUGUGUACUGUCUGGCUGGGUCUUACCUCUUGGUGAGCCGGCAUGCCCUUCACUGGGUGUGUCGGGGAACCAGGACUUUUACCUUGAGAAAAUUAGAGUGUUCAAAGCAGGCUUAUGCCCGAAUACAUUAGCGUGGAAUAAUAGAAUAGGACGUGCGGUUCUAUUUUGUUGGUUUCUAGAGUCGCCGUAAUGAUUAAUAGGGAUAGUUGGGGGCAUUAGUAUUCAGUUGCUAGAGGUGAAAUUCUUGGAUUUACUGAAGACUAACUACUGCGAGAGCAUUUGCCAAGGAUGUUUUCAUUA
This 388-nucleotide ribosomal RNA is filed under the name Trametes sp. RNAcentral's name for it is "partial small subunit ribosomal RNA". It matches the Rfam family "Eukaryotic small subunit ribosomal RNA", at positions 582 to 975 of the family's 1831-position model. The record is from RNAcentral. Lineage: Eukaryota; Fungi; Basidiomycota; Agaricomycetes; Polyporales; Polyporaceae.